GACGAACGCUGGCGGCGCGCCUAACACAUGCAAGUCGAACGAGCGAGAGAGAGUUACUUUUUCGAGCGAGUGGCGAACGGGUGAGUAACGCGUGAGGAACCUGCCUCAAAGAGGGGGACAACAGUUGGAAACGACUGCUAAUACCGCAUAAGCCCACGGGUCGGCAUCGACCAGAGGGAAAAGGAGCAAUCCGCUUUGAGAUGGCCUCGCGUCCGAUUAGCUAGUUGGUGAGGUAACGGCCCACCAAGGCGACGAUCAGUAGCCGGCCUGAGAGGGUGAACGGCCACAUUGGGACUGAGACACGGCCCAAACUCCUACGGGAGGCAGCAGUGGGGAAUAUUGCACAAUGGGGGAAACCCUGAUGCAGCGACGCCGCGUGGAGGAAGAAGGUCUUCGGAUUGUAAACUCCUGUUGUUGAGGAAGAUAAUGACGGUACUCAACAAGGAAGUGACGGCUAACUACGUG
Molecule: ribosomal RNA, 465 nt
Filed under: uncultured bacterium
Lineage: Bacteria
Description: bacterial SSU rRNA
Rfam family: Bacterial small subunit ribosomal RNA
Source: RNAcentral